CAAAUCAAAAAAAAAAAAAAGUGUAUAUAGCUGUGAGUUUAAAACACACACAAAAACAGAGGGGGGUGGUGGAGAGAAAAAAAAAAGAUUUAAAAACGAAAAAAAAAAAAAAAGCUUUUAUCGGUGUUUUUAGUUGGAAAGAGCUUUUAGCAAAAACCGUGGUUUUCAUCGUGCUCUGAAUGUAUAUAAAUAUAUAAAUAUAUAUAUACAUUAGUCAUUCCACCUGUUUCCUUCCCUGCAAAAAAAACAAAAUCAAACAACAAAAAAAAAAUGGCUUUUGUUCUUGAUUACUUGAGGUACACAAAGACGUGGGAUUUUUGAUGUUUUUGUUGUUGGUCUGACUGGUUUCGUUGGUGAAGAGGGCGGUGGUGUCUUUCAAGAGACCCUGGGCCGUCCGUCCAGGGGUGGGGGGGAGCCCGUUGCAUGUCCACUCCUGGGUUGCAGAAGUGCAUGCCGGGGGCGUCGGUGGCAGACCCUGGUUUGGGGGAAUUUUUCUCUUUUCUGGGCACGGGUCUCGGUGCAGGCUCAAUGCACACCCAGCCGCAGUGGGGACGUGGGAGAAUACAAGUGUCCUUCUGUCCUCCGGGGCCCCUUUGAAUCUGUUUAGGAAGAUGUGCUUCCCACCCCGGGUCCCUGCCAAAAAAUCAAAGAAAGCCCUCUUGGUGGGGCCUGCCCGGGGCGGUCAAUACCGCACUGUUCAGCUGGGCAGCUGCAGGGCCAUCUUCCCAGGAGAGGACCUGCUCAGCCUUGCUAAUCCGGUGGCAGGAGGACACGUGUGUUUCUCUUGGACUCAGCGGUGAGCCUUUAUUUAUGAGCAAGCCAGGUUUUUUUUUUUUUUAAUCAUUUUUUUUUAAAGUCCCUUUUAAUGUCCCUUUAAGGGAUAUUUUUUCAAGUGUCUCAAGAUGGAAGGAUAUAGUAGGAAAGGUCCCUUUGUCUUUUGGUCUUAGAGGAAAACAAAAAUUCAUACACCCACCAAGAAACAGUAGCCAAAGAAGUUGGAAGAAAACCUACCUGGGCACCGCUGGGGUUAAUUCCAGAAACGCAGUCUCCGAUGAUGCUAGCGUUGAGGUGGACACUCUGCCUUUAGCACCUGCCCACCUUGCAAUAACAACCUUCAACUCCCCAAAUCCCUGCACCGAAAUCCCUGCCGUAGUGGUGUGUCCCAGCAUUGAAUCUGUACCUAAAAGGGAGCUCUUGGGGACACCUGCAUCCCCACUAUAGAUCCCGAUGCUGCUGUCUCCAUCUGGAUUUUGGAGACCUCAGCUCUGUAUAUAAAUAUGUGAAAUAGGAUGACCCUCACCCCCGCACCGAGCACCUGCAAACCACAUUCCCCUGUCCACAGUGAAAUGUCCUGGAUAAGAUGUCCCCGCAAUUUGUUAUUAUUAUUAUUAUAAAUUUUUUUUUUUUUUUUUUUUUGGUUUUCUUGGAAAGCUGUGCUCAGGCCAUUUCUGCAAGAUCCGUAUUCGCCCCAGCUGGUCCUCCUAGCAGAUGGGCUUCUGUCCACUGGCUCGGAUGGUCAGCCUGGAUGUGGGUUGAGUCUGUCGUAGCGUGCACCCCGGUGUCUGUCCGGUACCUCCCAUCCUCUUCUGGUAGCAAUAUGUACAGUCAUGCGUCGGCUUCGUGGCCCCCGGGGUAGAGACAAAGCGUCCCCCGUGUUCCGUGGAUAGACUUUUAGCUUUUACAGAGGAUUAUGAUCCAAAAAGCAAUUUAAUACGUCGCGGAGGAUAUCUUAUUUCUACGGGAAAGAGGUUAUAGAGUCUUCAUAGAGUUCUAUGAGAGGGAAAAAAAUAUACUUGCUAUCUAUAAAAAAAAAAGAGAAAAAAAAGGAGAAAAAAAAUAAGGGAAAAAAAAUACUUUCUUAGGCUUUUAUUCUUGAUCUUGAAAGGCACGCAGGGUUCAAUGGUUCUUUGGGUUAUGAUUCUGCAACUUUUGUUUUUGAUUUUGCCUUAAGUAAUGAUAGAAGAUAUAUAUGGCUGGACACAUAUGUAUAAACUUUUCAGCAACAUUUUUAAUAAUAAAAUAUCACAGUAUUUUCUAA
This 2038-nucleotide long non-coding RNA is filed under the name Marmota monax (woodchuck). Lineage: Eukaryota; Metazoa; Chordata; Mammalia; Rodentia; Sciuridae. The record is from RNAcentral.